GACGAACGCUGGCGGCGUGCUUAACACAUGCAAGUCGAACGGAAAGGCCCUGCUGUUUUCGGGUGCUUGGAUGGCGAGCGAGUGAUUAACACGUGAGUAACCUGCCCUUGGCUUUGGGAUAACUUCAGGGAACUUGUUCUAAUAACGGAUAUGAGCUUCUGCUGCAGGGUGGGGGUUGGAUAGUGUGGGCGGUUGGGGAUGGAGUCGCUGCGUAUCAUCUUGUUGGUGGGGUAGUGGCUUACCAAGGCUUUGAGCGGUAGCCGGCCUGAGAGGGGGAACGGCCACAUGGGGACUGAGAUACGGACCAGACUCCUACGGGAGGCAGCAGUGGGGAAUAUUGCACAAUGGGCGGAAGCCUGAUGCAGCAACGCCGCGUGCGGGAUGACGGCCUUCGGGUUGUAAACCGCUUUCGCCUGUGACGAAGCGUGAGUGACGGUAACGGGUAAAGAAGCACCGGCUAACUACGUG
RNAcentral lists this ribosomal RNA (468 nucleotides) under uncultured bacterium. RNAcentral's name for it is "partial 16S ribosomal RNA". It matches the Rfam family "Bacterial small subunit ribosomal RNA", at positions 28 to 507 of the family's 1533-position model. The record is from RNAcentral.